RNAcentral lists this non-coding RNA (240 nucleotides) under Lysinibacillus macroides. Its description in RNAcentral is "T-box sequence". It matches the Rfam family "T-box leader". From Rfam's summary of the family: Uncharged tRNA acts as the effector for transcription antitermination of genes in the T-box leader family. T-boxes are found upstream of many aminoacyl-tRNA synthetase genes and some amino acid biosynthetic genes usually in Gram-positive bacteria. Lineage: Bacteria; Bacillati; Bacillota; Bacilli; Caryophanales; Bacillaceae. The record is from RNAcentral.
UUACAGGCCAAGAUUGGAAAUAGUAAAAGUGUUUGUGUACUUAUAGAGAGCCGAUGGUUGGUGGAAAUCGGUAGACACACAUUUUGAACUCGUCCAUGAGCUACUCCCUGAACAGUAGUUAGUAAGGGAUGUCGGUUUCCUCCGUUAACAGGAUAGACAGUGAUAGCUGUCGAUAAGAGGACUUUUUCUGCAAAGAAAGGUCAAUUAGAGUGGUACCGCGAGCAAAAACUCGUCUCUAUU